GGAAAUUUAUUAAUAGGGAAAAAAAAAGGAAUUAAUUAAUAAUGAUUGAUUUUUCGAUUGAUUACCAGAAAAUUAUCUCCUAUGUCAAGCUCCAACAGCGCUUUCAUCAUUCAAUGUGGCUGAGCUGCUGCAUGGAUUUUACCAUCUGAACAUAGCAGCCGACUAUCUGCUGGUCUAACUUGUAGUAAUACUCCAUCCUCUCCAAAGGUUUCAAAUCCAGGUCGAUGAAAUAUGCCUUAUAAUCAAAACUUUGGUUGGUUGAUUCUAAGGAAACCAUGCUAUAUGGAGAUUCCACACUCCCAUCUUCGCGAGGUCUAA
RNAcentral lists this unclassified non-coding RNA (318 nucleotides) under Hevea brasiliensis (rubber tree). Lineage: Eukaryota; Viridiplantae; Streptophyta; Magnoliopsida; Malpighiales; Euphorbiaceae. The record is from RNAcentral.